RNAcentral lists this ribosomal RNA (433 nucleotides) under uncultured bacterium. RNAcentral describes it as "partial 16S ribosomal RNA". It matches the Rfam family "Bacterial small subunit ribosomal RNA", at positions 29 to 507 of the family's 1533-position model. The record is from RNAcentral.
AACGAACGCUGGCGGCAUGCCUAACACAUGCAAGUCGAACGAGACCUUCGGGUCUAGUGGCGCACGGGUGCGUAACGCGUGGGAACCUGCCCUUAGGUUCGGAAUAACUCCCCGAAAGGGGUGCUAAUACCGGAUAAUGUCUUCGGACCAAAGAUUUAUCGCCUUUGGAUGGGCCCGCGUUGGAUUAGCUAGUUGGUAGGGUAAAAGCCUACCAAGGCGACGAUCCAUAGCUGGUCUGAGAGGAUGAUCAGCCACACUGGGACUGAGACACGGCCCAGACUCCUACGGGAGGGAGCAGUGGGGAAUAUUGGAAAAUGGGGGAAAGGCUGAUCCAGCCAUGCCGCGUGAGUGAUGAAGGCCUUAGGGUUGUAAAGCUCUUUUACCCGGGAUGAUAAUGACAGUACCGGGAGAAUAAGCUCCGGCUAACUCCGUG